AUAUCAAUAAGCGGAGGAAAAGAAACUAACAAGGAUUCCCCUAGUAACGGCGAGUGAAGCGGGAACAGCUCAAAUUUGAAAUCUCCUUCGGGCGAAUUGUAGUUUAGAGAAGCGUUUUCUGAUGGCGGAUAGGUACAAGUUCUUUGGAACAAGACAUCAUAGAGGGUGAAAAUCCCGUCUUUGACCUAUCUCAAGUCUAUGUGAUACGUUUUCCAAGAGUCGGUUUGUUUGGGAAUGCAGACCAAAAUGGGAGGUAAAUACCUUCUAAAGCUAAAUAUUGGCGAGAGACCGAUAGCGAACAAGUACCGUGAGGGAAAGAUGAAAAGAACUUUGAAAAGAGAGUUAAACAGUACGUGAAAUUGUCAAAAGGGAAACGUUUGAAACCAGUAUUGCUGGCGAGAAUUCAGCUCCCAUUUAUGGUAGUGUACUUUCUCGUUAGCGAGUCAACAUCAGUUUGACUUGGAGCAAAAAGCUAUGGAAAGGUAGCCCUUUUGGGUGUUAUAGUCCAUGGUCAUACUCUAGGUUGGACUGAGGACUGCAGCGUUUUUGCCUUCGGGACACCAGCGCUUAGGAUGUUGACGAAAUGGUUUUAAGCGA
RNAcentral lists this ribosomal RNA (597 nucleotides) under uncultured fungus. RNAcentral describes it as "eukaryotic LSU rRNA". It matches the Rfam family "Eukaryotic large subunit ribosomal RNA", at positions 40 to 647 of the family's 3401-position model. The record is from RNAcentral. Lineage: Eukaryota; Fungi.